This 945-nucleotide unclassified non-coding RNA is filed under the name Hevea brasiliensis (rubber tree). The record is from RNAcentral. Lineage: Eukaryota; Viridiplantae; Streptophyta; Magnoliopsida; Malpighiales; Euphorbiaceae.
CUUGGCCUUCAACUCCAUGCUGGUACUGAUUUCAAGCAUCUUUUCGUAUGCUGGUGAGAGUUUAAGUUGUUGUUGGAGCCAAUUAUAAACAAAUGUAUCCUCUUCUAAUCUCUUUUGUUCAAGCUCCAGCUUGUAAAUCUGUUGACGAAGGCGAUCAAUUGAAGACCUGUCUGCCUUGAAUAGAAGAGCCUUUGUUAUUGUGAACUUGCGUUUGAUGACCUCAGACUUGUGUUGUAACUCAUUUCUAGCUUCAAUCAAACAAUUAGCAAAUUGUCCAACCUGAGCCAGCGUCAAUCCCUUGUUUUCAUUACACUUGACAAGCUGAUCAUACUGCUGCUUGAUCUUCCUCUGCGUGGCACUACUCGUUGAAGUGAACGGGUACAAACAAACUAACUCCGGCUUAACCUGACCCGACCCCGAAUCCGAACCUUCGCUUUGUCUCUCUAAGCCCUUGUCUUCACCCCCAUUUUCUUCGCUCUUGGAAUCCACUCUCUUCUUCUUCGCCCUCUUCUUCUUCUUUUUCGCUAUCUGUGAAUCCCCGGCUGACCCGUCACGGUCAUUGCCAUGACCCGACCUCGUUUCAUCAGGGUAAUUGCCAAAUAGAGAGGCCCAUUUGGGAGAAUCGGAUGGCAAGAUGUCGAGAAGAAGAGAAUGAGUUAAAUGGGUUGCGUCAUUUUCACGGUUUUUCCGAGUUCCAUCGAUUAUUUUGGACAAAUAACGGUUUAUAACAGAAGUGUCACCGUUCUGGGUCUGUUCUUCUCGCUUUGGCUUGUUGAAACUCUUAUAGAGAACAUAUAGAAAGAUAAAGAAGGACACAGAAAACGCAAAGAAGGAGAGGAAGAAGAAGAACAAAUGAGAGAACAUUUGUUUGUGCUUGUCCAGAUGAUACAGUGAAAAGAAUUGAAAUUUAGAGAUAAGAUUAGAUAGAUGUGAACAAGUUACAGC